RNAcentral lists this unclassified non-coding RNA (145 nucleotides) under uncultured Phlogicylindrium. Its description in RNAcentral is "sequence contains ITS1". Lineage: Eukaryota; Fungi; Ascomycota; Sordariomycetes. The record is from RNAcentral.
CAGAGUCGUAAAACACUCCCAAACCCAUGUGAACUUACCUUUGUUGCCUCGGCAGGACCUACCCGGGACCUACCCUGUAGCCUGCCGGUGGACUACUCAACUCUUGUUAUUUUAUAUAAAUCUGAGCGUCUUAUUUAAUAAGUCA